AUAUAAGAUUUAACCUGCCCACUGAAUAAUUGAAUGGCCGCGGUAUUUUGACCGUGCAAAGGUAGCAUAAUAAUUAGUUUUUUGAUUGAAAGCUGGAAUGAAUGGUUGGACGAGAAAAUUACUGUCUCUAAUUAAAUUUAAAUAAAACUUUAUUUUUAAGUUAAAAAGCUUAAAUGUUAAUGAAAGACGAGAAGACCCUAUAGAGUUUUAUAAUUGUUUGAAAAUAUAAUUUUAAGUAUUUAGAUUUUGUUUUCUAAAAAUUAUUUUAUUGGGGUGAUAAAAAGAUUUAAUAAACUCUUUUUUUAUUUAUACAUUUAUAUAUGAUUAUUUGAUCCAUUUUUUGUGAUUAUAAGAAUAAAUUACCUUAGGGAUAACAGCGUAAUCUUUUUAGAGAGUUCUUAUCGAAAUAAGGGAUUGCGACCUCGAUGUUGGAUUAAAGUUAAUUCUUGGUGUAGAAGCUUGGAAAUUGAGUCUGUUCGACUUUUAAAACUUUACAUGAUCUGAGUUUAAACCGGUGUGAGCCAGGUUGGUUUCUAUCUUUAUUUAGUUAAAAUGUCUUAGUACGAAAGGACCAA
Molecule: ribosomal RNA, 575 nt
Filed under: Hydora angusticollis
Lineage: Eukaryota; Metazoa; Arthropoda; Insecta; Coleoptera; Elmidae
Description: partial large subunit ribosomal RNA
Rfam family: Bacterial large subunit ribosomal RNA
Source: RNAcentral